GGGGGUGUAGCUCAGAGGGAGAGCACCUGCCUUGCAAGCAGGGGGUCAGGAGUUCGAAUCUCCUCAUCUCCA
Molecule: transfer RNA, 72 nt
Filed under: Syntrophothermus lipocalidus DSM 12680
Lineage: Bacteria; Bacillati; Bacillota; Clostridia; Eubacteriales; Syntrophomonadaceae
Rfam family: tRNA
About the family: Transfer RNA (tRNA) molecules are approximately 80 nucleotides in length.
Source: Rfam by way of RNAcentral